AUACGUAGGGUGCAAGCGUUAAUCGGAAUUACUGGGCGUAAAGCGUGCGCAGGCGGUUUUGUAAGACAGAGGUGAAAUCCCCGGGCUCAACCUGGGAACUGCCAUGGUGACUGCAAGGCUGGAGUGCGGCAGAGGGGGAGGGAAUUCCGCGUGUAGCGGUGAAAUGCGUAGAUAUGCGGAGGAACACCGAUGGCGAAGGCAAUCCCCUGGGCCUGCACUGACGCUCAUGCACGAAAGCGUGGGGAGCAAACAGGAUUAGAUACCCUGGUAGUCCACGCCCUAAACGAUGUCAACUGGUUGUUGGGGAUUUAUUUUCUCAGUAACGAAGCCAACGCGUGAAGUUGACCGCCUGGGGAGUACGGCCGCAAGGUUAAAACUCAAAUGAAUUGACGGGG
RNAcentral lists this ribosomal RNA (395 nucleotides) under uncultured bacterium. RNAcentral's name for it is "partial 16S ribosomal RNA". It matches the Rfam family "Bacterial small subunit ribosomal RNA", at positions 523 to 918 of the family's 1533-position model. The record is from RNAcentral.